UUAAGCAUAUCAAUAAGCGGAGGAAAAGAAACCAACAGGGAUUGCCCUAGUAACGGCGAGUGAAGCGGCAACAGCUCAAAUUUGAAAUCUGGCUCUCGGGCCCGAGUUGUAAUUUGUAGAGGAUGCUUUUGAUGCGGUGCCUUCCGAGUUCCCUGGAACGGGACGCCAUAGAGGGUGAGAGCCCCGUCUGGUUGGAUGCCAAAUCUCUGUAAAGCUCCUUCGACGAGUCGAGUAGUUUGGGAAUGCUGCUCUAAAUGGGAGGUAUAUGUCUUCUAAAGCUAAAUACCGGCCAGAGACCGAUAGCGCACAAGUAGAGUGAUCGAAAGAUGAAAAGCACUUUGAAAAGAGAGUUAAAAAGUACGUGAAAUUGUUGAAAGGGAAGCGUUUAUGACCAGACUUGGGCUUGGUUAAUCAUCUGGGGUUCUCCCCAGUGCACUUUUCCAGUCCAGGCCAGCAUCAGUUUUCGCCGGGGGAUAAAGGCUUCGGGAAUGUGGCUCUCUCCGGGGAGUGUUAUAGCCCGUUGCGUAAUACCCUGGCGGGGACUGAGGUUCGCGCAUCUGCAAGGAUGCUGGCGUAAUGGUCAUCAACGACCCGUC
This 596-nucleotide ribosomal RNA is filed under the name Fusarium equiseti. Its description in RNAcentral is "eukaryotic LSU rRNA". It matches the Rfam family "Eukaryotic large subunit ribosomal RNA", at positions 34 to 653 of the family's 3401-position model. The record is from RNAcentral. Lineage: Eukaryota; Fungi; Ascomycota; Sordariomycetes; Hypocreales; Nectriaceae.